This 82-nucleotide transfer RNA is filed under the name Echinostoma caproni. It matches the Rfam family "tRNA". From Rfam's summary of the family: Transfer RNA (tRNA) molecules are approximately 80 nucleotides in length. Lineage: Eukaryota; Metazoa; Platyhelminthes; Trematoda; Plagiorchiida; Echinostomatidae. The record is from Rfam by way of RNAcentral.
GGCUUCGUAGCUCAGCUGGUAGAGCCUGCGCGUACAAAGCGUAUGCGGCGUACAUACCUGGAUUCGAAUCCCAUCGACGCUA